This 308-nucleotide ribosomal RNA is filed under the name uncultured Glomus. RNAcentral's name for it is "SSU rRNA". It matches the Rfam family "Eukaryotic small subunit ribosomal RNA", at positions 569 to 880 of the family's 1831-position model. The record is from RNAcentral. Lineage: Eukaryota; Fungi; Glomeromycota; Glomeromycetes; Glomerales; Glomeraceae.
AGCAGCCGCGGUAAUUCCAGCUCCAAUAGCGUAUAUUAAAGUUGUUGCAGUUAAAAAGCUCGUAGUUGAAUUUCGGGGUUAGUAGGCUGGUCGUGCCACUGGUACGUACUGGUCUCACUGACUCCUCCUUCCUGAUGAACUGUAAUGCCAUUAAUUUGGUGUUGCAGGGAAACUGGACUGUUACUUUAGAAAAAUUAGAGUAGUUUAAAGCAAGCUAACGCUUGAAUACAUUAGCAUGGAAUAAUGAAAUAGGACGUUCGAUCCUAUUUUGUUGGUUUCUAGGAUUGACGUAAUGAUUAAUAGGGAUA